Molecule: ribosomal RNA, 234 nt
Filed under: uncultured Actinomycetes bacterium
Lineage: Bacteria; Bacillati; Actinomycetota; Actinomycetes
Description: uncultured actinobacterium partial 16S ribosomal RNA
Rfam family: Bacterial small subunit ribosomal RNA
Source: RNAcentral
CGAACGGGUGAGUAACACGUGAGCAACGUGCCCAAGACUCUGGAAUAACUUCGGGAAACCGGAGCUAAUACUGGAUACGAGACGCGAAGGCAUCUUCAGCGUCUGGAAAGAAUUUCGGUCUUGGAUCGGCUCACGGCCUAUCAGCUUGUUGGUGAGGUAAUGGCUCACCAAGGCGACGACGGGUAGCCGGCCUGAGAGGGUGGCCGGCCACACUGGGACUGAGACACGGCCCAG